Long non-coding RNA from Sinocyclocheilus anshuiensis, 256 nucleotides. RefSeq lists it as uncharacterized. The record is from RefSeq and is a predicted model, not a curated record. The transcript has 3 exons. NCBI's taxonomy places the organism in Eukaryota, Metazoa, Chordata, Actinopteri, Cypriniformes, Cyprinidae.
CGUCUAGCGCCAGCACAACCAGGACUUCAGCUUCUUUAUCGUCAGAGGAACUUCAUAAGCUAAAGAGAGGCUUGACUCGAAUUAUCAGACGAAGAGAGGAGGAAAUUCAAAGAUCACGAAGAUGAUGGAGAAACUGUCAGUGCUGGUCUCAGGGAUAGCACAGCUUUUUUGAGCUUUUCUUGUGAAGACUGUGUCUACUGUUGGGGAGGAUGCUAUUUCAUGCCCAUGUGAAGACUUUGCAGGACCAGAAGACAAC